CGGAGCGUAGUGUAACGGUAGCACGAGACGUUUGGGACGUUUUAGUCCGGGUUCAAAUCCCGGCGCUCCGACCA
Molecule: transfer RNA, 74 nt
Filed under: Candidatus Yanofskybacteria bacterium RIFCSPLOWO2_02_FULL_47_9b
Lineage: Bacteria; Candidatus Yanofskyibacteriota
Description: tRNA-Pro
Rfam family: tRNA
About the family: Transfer RNA (tRNA) molecules are approximately 80 nucleotides in length. Their secondary structure includes four short double-helical elements and three loops (D, anti-codon, and T loops). Further hydrogen bonds mediate the characteristic L-shaped molecular structure. tRNAs have two regions of fundamental functional importance: the anti-codon, which is responsible for specific mRNA codon recognition, and the 3' end, to which the tRNAs corresponding amino acid is attached (by aminoacyl-tRNA synthetases). tRNAs cope with the degeneracy of the genetic code in two manners: having more than one tRNA (with a specific anti-codon) for a particular amino acid; and 'wobble' base-pairing, i.e. permitting non-standard base-pairing at the 3rd anti-codon position.
Source: RNAcentral